AAAAGCUCGUAGUUGGAUCUCAGUUCCAGACGGGUGGUCCGCCUACCGGUGGUUACUGCCUGUUCUGAACAGCCAGCCGGUUUCUCUUGAUGAUCUUCACCGGUUGUCUUGGGUGACCGGCAAGUUUACUUUGAAAAAAUUAGAGUGCUCAAAGCAGGCGUGACGCCUGAAUAAUGGUGCAUGGAAUAAUGGAAUAGGACCUCGGUUCUAUUUUGUUGGUUUUCGGAACACGAGGUAAUGAUUAAGAGGGACAGACGGGGGCAUUCGUAUUGCGACGCUAGAGGUGAAAUUCUUGGACCGUCGCAAGACGAACUACUGCGAAAGCAUUUGCCAAGAAUGUUUCCAUUAAUCAAGAACGAAAGUUAGAGGUUCGAAGGCGAUCARAUACCGCCCUAGUUCUAACCAUAAACGAUGCCAGCCAGCGAUCCGGCUGUGUUCCUCAAAUGACACGCCGGGCAGCUUCCGGGAAACCAAAGCUUUUGGGUUCCGGGGGAAGUAUGGUUGCAAAGCUGAAACUUAAAGGAAUUGACGGAAGGGCACCACCAGGAAUGGAGCCUGCGGCUUAAUUUGACUCAACACGGGUAAACUUACCCGGCCCGGACACAGGAAGGAUUGACAGAUUAAGAGCUCUUUCUUGAUUCUGUGGGUGGUGGUGCAUGGCCGUUCUUAGUUGGUGAAGUGAUUUGUCUGGUUAAUUCCGAUAACGAACGAGGCUCUAGCCUACUAAAUAGACGUUCCGAUCAUCUCCGUCGGACGUUCUUCUUAGAGGGACAAGCGGCGUUUAGCCGCACGAGACAGAGCAAUAACAGGUCUGUGAUGCCCUUAGAUGUCCGGGGCCGCACGCGCGCUACAUUGAAGGAAUCAGCGUGUGCUUUCCCUGUCCGACAGGACUGGGUAACCCGUUGAACCUCCUUCGUGCUGGGGAUUGGCUUUUGUAAUUUUCAGCCAUGAACGAGGAAUUCCCAGUAAGCACGAGUCAUCAGCUCGUGUUGAUUACGUCCCUGCCCUUUGUACACACCGCCCGUCGCUACUACCGAUUGAAUGAUUUAGUGAGGUCUUCGGACUGGCGCUCGGAGCGGCUCUCACGGGUCGCGCCGGCGUGCCGGAAAGAUGACCAAACUUGAUCAUUUAGAGGAAGUAAAAGUCGUAACAAGGUUUCC
This 1160-nucleotide ribosomal RNA is filed under the name Zorocrates fuscus. RNAcentral's name for it is "SSU rRNA". It matches the Rfam family "Eukaryotic small subunit ribosomal RNA", at positions 624 to 1824 of the family's 1831-position model. Lineage: Eukaryota; Metazoa; Arthropoda; Arachnida; Araneae; Zoropsidae. The record is from RNAcentral.